This 69-nucleotide transfer RNA is filed under the name Urocitellus parryii (Arctic ground squirrel). RNAcentral describes it as "Spermophilus parryii (Arctic ground squirrel) tRNA". It matches the Rfam family "tRNA". Rfam says of the family: Transfer RNA (tRNA) molecules are approximately 80 nucleotides in length. Their secondary structure includes four short double-helical elements and three loops (D, anti-codon, and T loops). Lineage: Eukaryota; Metazoa; Chordata; Mammalia; Rodentia; Sciuridae. RNAcentral also lists the same sequence under 2 other names. The record is from Rfam by way of RNAcentral.
GGGGCUGUAGCUCAGUGGUAGAGUGCCUGCUUUGUAUGUGUGAUGCACUGGGUUUGAUCCCCAGCACCA